Long non-coding RNA from Fundulus heteroclitus (mummichog), 502 nucleotides. RefSeq lists it as uncharacterized. The record is from RefSeq and is a predicted model, not a curated record. NCBI's taxonomy places the organism in Eukaryota, Metazoa, Chordata, Actinopteri, Cyprinodontiformes, Fundulidae. The transcript has 2 exons.
AUUCUGGCCUGUCUGCCUGCUCUGCUCUCCCUGUGAGCAAUCAAGUCCAGCUGCUGCAGUGCAAUCAGCAGCAUGCCUCUCAGCUGCUCACAAGCAGUUAUAAGUCAGCCUGUGGCAGGCAGACAGGGCCAGAUAAUUGCAAGCCGACAAGCCAGCAGUAUCCAGCACUUCAUGUACCUGACCAAGUUUUUGACCACGCCAUCGCCUCACGGAUUUUCCCUUUUUGCCCAGCCCUCGUCGGAUUUCUCUGCCUUUUGGACAACGACCCUGUUUCUGCCCCAUGACUUCUGCCUCUUGCCAAGUCCCCUGAAUAUUAAGCCUGAGUGAGGCUUCCAGGACCUCAAGCCUGCUUCUGUGCUCCACGUCACUAUCUGUUAAAGGAGCAGUCUGCUCUGCUAAAACUGCCGACCCCUGCUGAAGGAAGGACGCUGAAAAGUUAUCCCUGGUCCUCGGCGGAUGCACUCCUGAAGUCCAGAGUUCAGAAUAAACUGUUUAAGUCCUA